This 255-nucleotide ribosomal RNA is filed under the name uncultured bacterium. RNAcentral's name for it is "partial 16S ribosomal RNA". It matches the Rfam family "Bacterial small subunit ribosomal RNA", at positions 524 to 777 of the family's 1533-position model. The record is from RNAcentral.
UACGAAGGGGGCUAGCGUUGCUCGGAAUCACUGGGCGUAAAGGGCGCGUAGGCGGCGUUUUUAAGUCGGGGGUGAAAGCCUGUGGCUCAACCACAGAAUUGCCUUCGAUACUGGGACGCUUGAGUGUGGUAGAGGUUGGUGGAACUGCGAGUGUAGAGGUGAAAUUCGUAGAUAUUCGCAAGAACACCAGUGGCGAAGGCGGCUCACUGGACCACAACUGACGCUGAGGUGCGAAAGCGUGGGGAGCAAACAGGG